UACGUAGGGGGCAAGCGUUGUCCGGAUUUAUUGGGCGUAAAGAGCGUGUAGGCGGCCAGGCAGGUCCGCUGUGAAAACUCGAGGCUCAACCUCGAGAGGUCGGUGGAAACUGUCUGGCUAGAGUCCGGAAGAGGAGAGUGGAAUUCCAGGUGUAGCGGUGAAAUGCGUAGAUAUCUGGAGGAACACCGGUGGCGAAGGCGGCGUCCUGGACCAACACUGACACUGAAAAGCGAAAGCCAGGGGAGCAAACAGG
Molecule: ribosomal RNA, 253 nt
Filed under: uncultured bacterium
Lineage: Bacteria
Description: partial 16S ribosomal RNA
Rfam family: Bacterial small subunit ribosomal RNA
Source: RNAcentral